AUUAGCAACGGAGAUGGAGUUCUCCUUUAACCCAACCGCUUUAACUUCAUUAAAAGCUGAUAACUCCUACAAUUAA
Molecule: non-coding RNA, 76 nt
Filed under: Elusimicrobiota bacterium
Lineage: Bacteria; Pseudomonadati; Elusimicrobiota
Description: Elusimicrobia bacterium Fluoride sequence
Rfam family: Fluoride riboswitch aptamer (crcB RNA motif)
Source: RNAcentral